Long non-coding RNA from Vidua macroura (Pin-tailed whydah), 231 nucleotides. RefSeq lists it as uncharacterized. The record is from RefSeq and is a predicted model, not a curated record. Lineage: Eukaryota; Metazoa; Chordata; Aves; Passeriformes; Viduidae. The transcript has 2 exons.
GAAAAGAGGGAGUGCCUGCUAAAGCAGCAGAUGGUGCUUCCACAACCAGCUCUCCCAUCCUGGCCCUGCACACACAGAUGUUCAGUCUGGAAACCCCAGUUCUAUCAGCACAUAAACCAAUCCUCCUCUGAUUCUCUUCACUGCUCCAUUUUGGAGCACUGUGUUUUGAAGAGGGUCUGGACAAACAAGAUCUAAAAUUAGACUCAGAAGUAUUAUGGAGUGGGAAAAUUG